AGAGUUUGAUCCUGGCUCAGAUUGAACGCUGGCGGCAUGCUUUACACAUGCAAGUCGAACGGCAGCGCGGGGCAACCUGGCGGCGAGUGGCGAACGGGUGAGUAAUAUAUCGGAACGUACCCAAGAGUGGGGGAUAACGUAGCGAAAGUUACGCUAAUACCGCAUACGAUCUAAGGAUGAAAGCAGGGGAUCUUCGGACCUUGUGCUCCUGGAGCGGCCGAUAUCUGAUUAGCUAGUUGGUGAGGUAAAGGCUCACCAAGGCCACGAUCAGUAGCUGGUCUGAGAGGACGACCAGCCACACUGGAACUGAGACACGGUCCAGACUCCUACGGGAGGCAGCAGUGGGGAAUUUUGGACAAUGGGCGAAAGCCUGAUCCAGCAAUGCCGCGUGAGUGAAGAAGGCCUUCGGGUUGUAAAGCUCUUUCGCAAGGAAAGAAAACUUAUCCAUUAAUACUGGGUGAGGUUGACGGUACCUUGAUAAGAAGCACCGGCUAACUACGUGCCAGCAGCCGCGGUAAUACGUAGGGUGCGAGCGUUAAUCGGAAUUACUGGGCGUAAAGCGUGCGCAGGCGGUUUGACAAGUCUGAUGUGAAAUCCCCGGGCUCAACCUGGGAACUGCGUUGGAAACUGUCAGGCUAGAGUGUAGCAGAGGGGGGUAGAAUUCCACGUGUAGCAGUGAAAUGCGUAGAGAUGUGGAGGAACACCGAUGGCGAAGGCAGCCCCCUGGGUCAAGAUUGACGCUCAUGCACGAAAGCGUGGGGAGCAAACAGGAUUAGAUACCCUGGUAGUCC
Molecule: ribosomal RNA, 791 nt
Filed under: uncultured bacterium
Lineage: Bacteria
Description: bacterial SSU rRNA
Rfam family: Bacterial small subunit ribosomal RNA
Source: RNAcentral